UCUGGCUCAAUUACCUACAGCUUUGGCUUUAAGAAUUUCUGUCAACCUGUACUUCUUAUAAUCCUAUUCCUAAUCACUGGGGACUCCCAAUCGACUGAUAUAAUUUUGGUAACAUGUUGGUGUCUGUCCCAUAGGUAAAAGAGAACCAAAAUUAACAGCCAGUGUUUAUUUCCAUGUUGUUGCCAUUUGUGUUUUGCGGGGUGAGAGGGCUGGCUAGAGAAGCAAUAUUUUCACACUGUCAAAAGGAUGACCCUAACUAAAGAAAAAAGUCAUUAAAUAUCCUAAAGUUUGACUUUACUUCUCAACACUAAUGACCAAGGAACUGGGCACAGAAUGACAAUCACUGGUCAUGUGACAUCAACAAACAGGAAGUGGAUAUGCUGACCCUGCACUGAAAUGCUUUAUUUUCAAGAAAUAUGGAUAUGUAAAGGAAAGUGGGGCUGCGUUAAAGCAGAGAGAAAGAGGCAGACUGCCCAGCUUCGACGUGGCAGGGUGACGUUGCAAAACCUGCAGCAGACAAACCCCAGAGACUGGCUGGGAAGCAAGUACAGAGAGACAAAGAAUGGGAGGGGAAGAGCACGGAAGAUGGACUCCACUUUUGUUCAGGGCGGUCAGCUGAAAGCUGGCGAGGCGAGCCAUCUGUGAUGCAGCAGCAGCGGACAUGUCCAUGCACGUCCACGCAUUUUUAAAAUUAGGUGAUAUGUACAGACACCAAACAAAUAUUUUGAGUUUACAUAGCUAACUUCUGGCCUAGAGACCUUUUCAUAGUUACUUUUAUGUCACAGAGAAGUGUAUCAUAUCCAGCUUUUCACUACUCUCCACCAUUGCGGUUUCCAUUUUCUUUAAUCCACAAGGAAUCAUGGGACAGGGUGGGCCACCGGACCCAUCCCUCAAAUCAGGGGAAAAAAAGGCACAUUUAUCAGCUGCAUUAAAAGGAGCGUCAGCGCAUUAAUUCUCCUUAGCGGUACCUGACCAAACUCUAAGCUCCUUGCAAUUCCUUGAAGCUCUUGUCCUCUGACUAACGUCAGUUUCCUUAUUCCCCCAAGAUACUCUCCUGUAGGGAACCUGACCUGGACCGCUCUCAUUGUCCUCCUCUGAUGAUCCAUGGUGUCAGUUUCAGUUCUGAAUCCCAAGAGCCUUCCGGCACUCCUGUCCAUCACUCCUCCAUCACCACUUGGCGUCCUCGCCGACCUCCACCUGCCUAUUCACCCUCCAACAUACUCUACCACUUUCUGUACCUUUCCCAAUAUCUACAUUCUCUGAAAGUCAGACUCUGCUAGCACUAUCACACUCUCCUGCUUGUUGUCGGUGCUCAGUCUGGUCUCCUUUCUCUCCACAGUAAAUAACCAGAGCCUUCCCAGUCGCCGUGCUAUCUGUUCCCAGUUUCCCCCCGUUACCAUAACUCACACGACUCAAUAAAACUCUUAAACUGAUUGCCUGCCUCUGUGUUUGUUGCUUUCAGGGUCAACAUGGAAAAACAAGAUCUGACAGGCAAAUUGGUUCAUUCCAAAGAUCUGGUCCUACAGCACAAUCAGAAUAAUGCUGUG
Long non-coding RNA from Fundulus heteroclitus (mummichog), 1547 nucleotides. RefSeq lists it as uncharacterized. The transcript is spliced from 5 exons. Lineage: Eukaryota; Metazoa; Chordata; Actinopteri; Cyprinodontiformes; Fundulidae. The record is from RefSeq and is a predicted model, not a curated record.